This is a long non-coding RNA of Malus domestica (apple), 1006 nucleotides long. RefSeq lists it as uncharacterized. The record is from RefSeq and is a predicted model, not a curated record. Lineage: Eukaryota; Viridiplantae; Streptophyta; Magnoliopsida; Rosales; Rosaceae.
UGGGUACUUUUCGUCUUUCCAUUGCAAGAUGGGUACUUUUCGAGUUUUCGGGAUUCUUUAAUCUUGCCUAAAUGAUUCAAAGUCUUGAAAUUUAUGUUAAUUGUUCUGAAUUCUGAGGGUGUUGCUGAAGUUGCGUAAAUUCUAGAGUACAUCAACGAAUGACAUAACUUGCUGAAUUUGCGGGGGGAAAUGUAACGGAAUUUAGUGCGACUCUAAGACUAAGCCACUUAAAAUACAAUGCAUUGAUGUAGAGUAGAAGGUCUCCAAGUUAUUGACUACUUUCAGCCCGUUUUGUUGAAGCAUGAAAGUUUUGAUCAUUGUGUGGAAAGAUGAGGUUUUUUCUAGUGCUUUUUUACAGGACGGGAUCAACAGACUAGUAACUACUUUUGCAUUCUGCAAACUUGGAUUGGUGAAUUUCUGAUAUCUGAGAAGUUGCUGGAAGGAAGGGAGUUGGGGUUUUACACAUGGGAAGGGGACGUGCAGGAGUUGUUGAAAGGUGUUCGUGAGAAGCUCAACAAGCUCGGAGAGCAUUGGACUGGAGAUGACAAAAACAAAUGCUUUAAAGAAAUAACAAAAUCAUUUCGGUAUUUGGGGCAGAUAGUUCGUUUGAUCAUCCUAGAGCCCAAGUAAUCUGAAUCAAACUGCUCAGGAGAUCACUUAUCGGUAGCAUUGGUCUAGGGUGGACUCAUUUUUGUGUAGAAGGUGAUUUUUCGACAGGCUUAACUCUACGAGCUGGAGAUGAACACCAUUGCAUCACUAAUCUAGAGGGAAGACGAGGAUGUCUUGUAUACUUUUCUUCCAUAAGGCUGCGCUGAGCACAAGAAGCAGCUUCUUUUGCUGAGCCUUGCGGCGCAAGAAUCGUGGAUUUUCAUACUCUUUCAGAUUUUGGAAGCACCCAACUGCAACUAGAUAUUUUUAAGGGAAGAAUAUGUUAACAAAUGCAAGAAUAUUCAUACUGAAUUAUUACUGAGUUAACUCAGAGAUGGCAAUUUUAAACUUCUUUUGA